CAGCAGCCACGGUAAUACAGAGGGUGCGAGCGUUAAUCGGAUUUACUGGGCGUAAAGCGUGCGUAGGCGGCUUCUUAAGUUGGAUGUGAAAUCCCUGAGCUUAACUUAGGAAUUGCAUUCGAUACUGGAAAGCUAGAGUAUGGGAGAGGAUGGUAGAAUUCCAGGUGUAGCGGUGAAAUGCGUAGAGAUCUGGAGGAAUACCGAUGGCGAAGGCAGCCAUCUGGCCUAAUACUGACGCUGAGGUACGAAAGCAUGGGGAGCAAACAGGAUUAGAUACCCCUGUAGUCCCUGUCUCUUAUAC
RNAcentral lists this ribosomal RNA (301 nucleotides) under uncultured bacterium. RNAcentral describes it as "partial 16S ribosomal RNA". It matches the Rfam family "Bacterial small subunit ribosomal RNA", at positions 509 to 807 of the family's 1533-position model. The record is from RNAcentral.